GGACUACAAGGGUAUCUAAUCCUGUUUGCUCCCCACGCUUUCGUGCCUGAGCGUCAAUCUCGGCCCAGGGGGCUGCCUUCGCCAUCGGUGUUCCGCCACAUCUCUACGCAUUUCACUGCUACACGUGGCAUUCCACCCCCCUCUGCCGGAUUCAAGUCCCAUAGUUUCCACUGCAGUUCCCAAGUUAAGCUCGGGGCUUUCACAGCGGACUUGCGGGACCGCCUACGCACGCUUUACGCCCAGUAAUUCCGAUUAACGCUCGCACCCUACGUAUUACCGCGGCGGCUGGCAC
This 292-nucleotide ribosomal RNA is filed under the name uncultured bacterium. Its description in RNAcentral is "partial 16S ribosomal RNA". The record is from RNAcentral.